RNAcentral lists this ribosomal RNA (1031 nucleotides) under uncultured bacterium. RNAcentral describes it as "bacterial SSU rRNA". It matches the Rfam family "Bacterial small subunit ribosomal RNA", at positions 56 to 1064 of the family's 1533-position model. The record is from RNAcentral.
UGCAGUCGUACGAGAAAUCUCUUCGGAGAUGAGUAAAGUGGCGCACGGGUGAGUAACGCGUGGGUAAUCUGCCCUUAGGUUUGGGAUAACCCCGGGAAACCGGAGCUAAUACCGAAUGAGACCACGAUGACUUCGGUCGAUGUGGGAAAAGGUGGCCUCUUCUUGAAAGCUAUCGCCAAAGGAUGAGCCCGCGUUUGAUUAGCUAGUUGGUGAGGUAAUGGCUCACCAAGGCGACGAUCAAUAGCUGGUCUGAGAGGAUGAUCAGCCACACUGGAACUGAGAUACGGUCCAGACUCCUACGGGAGGCAGCAGUCAGGAAUAUUGGGCAAUGGGCGAAAGCCUGACCCAGCAACGCCGCGUGAAGGAUGAAGGCCUUCGGGUCGUAAACUUCUGUCGAGAGGGAAGAAUGUGUACGGGUGAACAAUCCGUGCAUUUGACGGUACCUCCAAAGGAAGCACCGGCUAACUCCGUGCCAGCAGCCGCGGUAAUACGGAGGGUGCAAGCGUUGUUCGGAUUCAUUGGGCGUAAAGCGAGCGUAGGCGGUUUGACAAGUCGGAUGUGAAAUCCCGGGGCCCAACCCCGGAACUGCAUCCGAUACUGUCUGGCUAGAGUCCCGGAGAGGGUGGCGGAAUUCCCGGUGUAGGGGUGAAAUCCGUAGAUAUCGGGAGGAACACCAGUGGCGAAGGCGGCCACCUGGACGGUGACUGACGCUGAGACUCGAAAGCGUGGGUAGCAAACAGGAUUAGAUACCCUGGUAGUCCACGCUGUAAACGGUGAGUGCUCGUCGUCGUGGGUAUUGACCCCUGCGGUGACCAAGUUAACACAUGAAGCACUCCGCCUGGGAAGUACGGUCGCAAGACUAAAACUCAAAGAAAUUGACGGGGGCCCGCACAAGCGGUGGAGCAUGUUGUUUAAUUCGAAGCAACGCGCAGAACCUUACCUGGAUUUGACAUCUCUGGAAUCCUCCUGAAAAGGGAGGAGUGCCUUCGGGAGCCAGAAGACAGGUGCUGCAUGGCUGUCGUCAGCUCGUG